RNAcentral lists this ribosomal RNA (504 nucleotides) under uncultured bacterium. RNAcentral describes it as "partial 16S ribosomal RNA". It matches the Rfam family "Bacterial small subunit ribosomal RNA", at positions 29 to 523 of the family's 1533-position model. The record is from RNAcentral.
AUUGAACGCUGGCGGCAGGCCUAACACAUGCAAGUCGGACGGUAGCACAGAGAGCUUGCUCUUGGGUGACGAGUGGCGGACGGGUGAGUAAUGUCUGGGGAUCUGCCCGAUAGAGGGGGAUAACCACUGGAAACGGUGGCUAAUACCGCAUAACGUCGCAAGACCAAAGAGGGGGACCUUCGGGCCUCUCACUAUCGGAUGAACCCAGAUGGGAUUAGCUAGUAGGCGGGGUAAUGGCCCACCUAGGCGACGGUCCCUAGCUGGUCUGAGAGGAUAACCAGCCACACUGGAACUGAGACACGGUCCAGACUCCUACGGGAGGCAGCAGUGGGGAAUAUUGCACAAUGGGCGCAAGCCUGAUGCAGCCAUGCCGCGUGUAUGAAGAAGGCCUUCGGGUUGUAAAGUACUUUCAGCGGGGAGGAAGGCGACGCGGUUAAUAACCGCGUCGAUUGACGUUACCCGCAGAAGAAGCACCGGCUAACUCCGUGCCAGCAGCCGCCGUAA